This 478-nucleotide ribosomal RNA is filed under the name uncultured bacterium. Its description in RNAcentral is "SSU rRNA". It matches the Rfam family "Bacterial small subunit ribosomal RNA", at positions 26 to 511 of the family's 1533-position model. The record is from RNAcentral.
AGGAUGAACGCUGGCGGCGUGCCUAAUACAUGCAAGUCGAGCGGUAAGGUUCUCACUCUGUAUUUAACGAGUUUGAAUAUAGUGUGAGAAUACACGAGCGGCGGACGGCUGAGUAACACGUAGGAACGUACCCCAAAGUGAGGGAUAAGCACCAGAAAUGGUGUCUAAUACCGCAUGUGCUCUUCGGAGUAAAGCUACGGCGCUUUGGGAACGGCCUGCGCAUGAUUAGCUUGUUGGUGAGGUAAUAGCUCACCAAGGCGACGAUCAUUAGCUGGUCUGAGAGGAUGAUCAGCCAGACUGGGACUGAGAACGGCCCAGACUCCUACGGGAGGCAGCAGUAGGGAAUUUUCCACAAUGGGCGAAAGCCUGAUGGAGCAACGCCGCGUGCAGGAUGAAUGCCUUCGGGUUGUAAACUGCUUUUAUCUGUGACGAUUAUGACGGUAGCAGAUGAAUAAGGAUCGGCUAACGUCCGUGACCG